Molecule: ribosomal RNA, 253 nt
Filed under: uncultured bacterium
Lineage: Bacteria
Description: partial 16S ribosomal RNA
Rfam family: Bacterial small subunit ribosomal RNA
Source: RNAcentral
UACAGAGGUCUCAAGCGUUGUUCGGAUUCAUUGGGCGUAAAGGGUGCGUAGGCGGCGCGGUAAGUCGGGUGUGAAAUUUCGGAGCUUAACUCCGAAACUGCAUUCGAUACUGGCGUGCUUGAGGACUGGAGAGGAGACUGGAAUUCAUGGUGUAGCAGUGAAAUGCGUAGAGAUCAUGAGGAAGACCAGUGGCGAAGGCGGCGACCUGGAAGGUAACUGACACUGAGCAGCGAAAGCGUGGGUAGCAAACAGG